RNAcentral lists this ribosomal RNA (253 nucleotides) under uncultured bacterium. Its description in RNAcentral is "partial 16S ribosomal RNA". It matches the Rfam family "Bacterial small subunit ribosomal RNA", at positions 524 to 776 of the family's 1533-position model. The record is from RNAcentral.
UACGUAGGGGGCAAGCGUUGUCCGGAUUCAUUGGGCGUAAAGAGCGUGUAGGCGGCCAGGUAGGUCGGUUGUGAAAACUGGAGGCUCAACCUUCAGAGGUCGACCGAAACCAUCUGGCUAGAGUCCGGGAGAGGAGAGUGGAAUUCCUGGUGUAGCGGUGAAAUGCGCAGAUAUCAGGAAGAACACCCGUGGCGAAAGCGGCUCUCUGGAACGGUACUGACGCUGAGACGCGAAAGCGUGGGGGGCGAACAGG